Molecule: non-coding RNA, 84 nt
Organism: Lojkania enalia
Lineage: Eukaryota; Fungi; Ascomycota; Dothideomycetes; Pleosporales
Source: the annotation of a GenBank genome assembly
GGACCCUUGGCGCAACGGUAGCGCGUCAGAUUCCAGUUUCUUGGAGUGUCCUGAAGGUUAGGCGUUCAAAUCGCCUAGGGUUCA